AGCAUAUAUUAAUGAAGGCAGCUCUUGCUUCAGUGGUUGGGAGCAAAACCUUCGUGUUCGAGGUCGGGAGUUCGAACCUUACCUCUUACAAAUAUUUUUGGAUCUCGUAUAUACUUGUUAUACGGACGUAUAUACGGUAUGUACGGUAUACAUACGUAUAUACGGCCUGUACGGUAUGCAUACGUAUAUACAGUUGUACAGUAUGCAUACGUAUAUACGGUCUGUACGGUAUACAUACGUAUAUACGGUAUGUACAAUUUCAUACCGUAGCCGAGCUGGAAAUAGUAAGCCCAAUUGUUCGGCCCGAUUUGUAGGCCAAAAUAGUAAGCCCAAUUGUUCGGCCGAUUGGUAGGCCCAAAUAGUAAGCCCAAUUGUUCGGCCCGAAUGGUAGGCCCAAAUGUUAAACCCAAAUUGGUUCGGGCCGGUUUAAAUGUGGAUGGUUCGAUUUCUUCGGCCCAAUUGGUCAGCCUUAAUGCUUAGCCCAAGGAUUGAGCAAGCCCAAGUCAUCAUCACUAGGUGACAUGUUUUAUUGGCGUGCUUUUGAGAAUGAUUUGUUUUGAGUGAUGCUAAUUGAGUAGCGAAACGCUUUGUGGGAGUGUUUAUUGUGGUUGUAUGCCAGUACAGGAUGACGAUCAGUGUGAAAACAACAAUAUGUGCAAUGCCACGUGGUGAUUUGAGUGUGGGUUGCUUGAAGCAAUUGUUGUGUUGUAAUUUUGAGAAAUGAUGCGGUGAAGGAAUGUCAUGUUGAUGACUUAAGUGGGAAUGAGGAUUUCAUUUGUGAAUUCUGGUUUUGUGAAUUUACAUCGUGAUGAAAGGAUUUAGUGGCCAUAGGAAUGUAUUUUUAUACGAAGGGCUGUGGCUUUGUGGAUUACUACAGUUUUGGGAAGGAUGGAGAUUCGAUGGUUAGGUCAACCUUAAUCAAGAGGAAUUGACUUACGCUUAAAUUUCGGGACGAAAUUUCUUUAAGGAGGGUAGAUUGUAAUACCCGAAAAAUUCAAAUUAAUGUCCGAUGACAUUUUGGAAAUGAUUUCGUAGGCGUGGGCACGAAUACGAAGCUUGAAGGAGUUGUGGAAUUAGUUCGAACGAUUUUAUUUCGAAAACGAACGUUAUUUAGGGGGUCUUGAAAAGUGACUUCUUAUACGUACAGAAUUUGGGAAAACUUUCUUCAUGAAAGUUGUAGAGCUCGUCGAUACGAUCUCGUGCAUAUGUGGAACGCAAUAUUCGGAGUUCGUAUGAAUAAGUUAUGAAUAUUUGAAAAUUGGGAAUUUUCUAUAAAUAUCAACAAAAUGUUGACUUUUUUCAUUAAGGACGAAACUUUUCUGUUUUUGCGGAAUAGUCCCCCGGAUUCUCUCUCUCUCUCGAUCGAAACCCUCAGACCCGGCGGGUCGUGUUCGACCCGACCCGGCUGGUUCUCUCCCCUCCGGCCUCCUCCAGCCCCGGACCCGGACUCCUCCGUGAUCGCCGCUCCACGCCCAGCCGUCCCCUCCCAUCGCUUCGCCCAGACGCUGCUCCAAAAGCUGGAUCGAAGCCACCCAGACUCUUGAUUCGGACCCGGCCGGAAAACCACUUUUCCGGCGUUGCAUGGGCCGAUCGUUCCCAUUUUUGUGAUCUCCUCCUCAUGCUGAUCAUCCCCAUGAUUAAUCCGACUUCCAAGCUUGAUCUAGGACGAUCUAGGCCAAACCAGACUUAGCUCCAGGUAUGGAAGUCGACCACCCUUUCAUUUUGAACCAGUUUGUAGUUGGUCACUUUGCCAUCUGAGGUGGUUGACCGGCGUUGACCGCCGCGUUGACCGCCCACUGACCACCGCUUGUGGCGGCGCAUCAGACCAUAUUUCGAGUUUUCAUUAUCUGGGCGAUGAUCUAUGCAUCCAUACGAGCGUUUUGAUAUAUUACAAGGUUAUGUUAGAAAAAGUUGGUAAAUAGUGGAUUUACGUUUUUACGUUACUAUUUACGGUUUUUACGUUUUAUCUUCGGUUUACGAUCUACGAAGAUCAGACCAUCGGUUUUACUUCAAAUUUUAAUAUGUUGAUCGUAUGACUGUCCCGGUGACUUUGUGAGGUCACGGGCGAAGAUCCGACCGUUGGAUCUUCGUAUAUUUGAGAAAUAGUGAUUCGGAAGGCGAUUCGUGAGAAUCCGACCGUCGGAUUUUCAUAUAAUUUUGUGGAGAUGUUAGUAAGGGCGAUUCAGGAAGAUCUGACCGUUGGAUCUUCGUGAUAAUUUUGGAGGAUGAUCCUAAGGGCGAUCCGUGAGGAUCCGACCGUUGGAUCAUCAUAUAAAUUUGAUCUGACCGUUGGAUCAUCAUUAAAUUAGAAUCCGACCGUUGGAUUUCUGUAUAUGUGUGGUCUAUGAAUGAUUUCUAAGUUAAGAUCGUGUUUGACUAGGUGGUUGAUGGAUUGAUUGGUGAACGAUUUCGGAUCGUUGUUUUUGAGCUGUUAAGAAGACGCAGCGGGAAUUUAGAGGUGAGUAAACCUCACGUGGUUCAUAUUACGAACCGAAUAAAUUUAAUUACCUUAUUUUGUCGUAAUUGCGUGAAAAUAUUUAUGAAAUAAAUAUUUGUUUUAAAAUCAUAUGGACUUGAUCAACCACGGUCCAUGGGGAUGUAAAAUGAUUUUUAUUAUACAAAAUGAAUUUCACGAUUUUCUUGUGUGAACUAUAGUUGGUAUUAGUGGUCAUUCCUGAGUGGGUGAUUACGUAUAUAUAUAUUUACGUGAUUAUAUGUGGAAUGGUGUGACAUUGAAGAGUGUGGAAAUUGGGAUGAUUAAAAUACUAUGAAUUGAAAUUUGACUUAUCAUAUUUAUAUGUGAUGAUCAUGAUUGAUGAGUUCUUGUUAAUAUUCAUGAUUUACAUUGGAGUAUGUAUAGAGUUGGAGAAUGUAGGAUUCUGAGGACGAGGUGUCCGAAGUUUGACGGUUAUGGAUAACCGGAGUGUUUGUGUACUGAGGACGGGGAUGUCCAAAGUGCGACGGUUUAUUAUUAACCGAAGUUGUGUACUGAGGACGGGGAUGUCCAAAGUGCGACGGUUUAUUAUUAACCGAAGUAUAUGGUGCUGAGGACGGGGAUGUCCAAAGCGCGACGGUUAUAGUGUUAACCGAAGUAUUUUGCCGUUGCUUGACCCUAGGCCAAGGUGUCAGAGGUAACGAGGCAGUUAGAGCUCUAACGUGUUAUUGGGAUGGACCAGAGUGGUGUUAUGUGGGUUGGGUGUUUACAGGACCAGUGUGGUGUAUUGUGAUUUGAGGAUUGUGAAAAUGUAUUCCUUGUGGUUUCCAUGAGUGGGUUGAUGUCUCUUUGCAGACGUAAUACUGUUGAAUUUUACUUGAAUUGUAAUUUAAUAAAUCAACAGUUCUUUCUUGUUUACUCAUACUGGCUGUAAAAAGCUUACCGGGUUUUGUGUUGUUGCAACUCCCGGUACACUAUUCAAAUUGUGUAGCGGGUAAUCCUACAGGACAGGAGAACCAGGACGGUGAUCGUGCGGUUAGAGCAAUGGUUAUAGUUUUACAGCAAUUGUAAUAGUGAGGCGAGUUAAGCUCAUUUGAGCCUUACAAUUUGAUUUGGUGGGAGUGUGCUGUAAUAAAUAACUUGAGGAUUUGGGUUAUUGUAAAUUUGAGAGUUGUGAAGUGUGGUUGUUUGUGAGAAAAAAAUUCAGGAUGUUAGUUGUAAUUUGUUAUUAUUCAUGUUUCGGAUUUGAAUUGAUUAUUCAAAAUUCGGGGCGUGACAUAAACCUAGGUACCUCCCUGGGUUAUCCACCACUACCAUACCUAGUAAUUCACACAUCAGCCGCUGCAUUUGACAGGGGGUAUUCGGAGAGAAGAAAAUACUUGAUUUUUCGUUGUUGAUCAGUUGGCCUGAGGCCAAGCAGUACUCCUUGAAAAUCAGGCUAAGCUGCCAGCAAUUUUGAAGGGUUGCCUUAAGGAAAAACAAAGCAUCAUCUGCAAAGAAAAGAUGGGAGAGGACCGGGAAACUUCUGCUAAGGUGAAUACCAAGGAGGGAUCCAUCCGUUACUGCUCUAGUUAAUCUGAGGGAUAGUACCUCGCUGACCAAUAGGAACACGUAUGGUGAUAGAGGGUCUCCCUGCCUUAGACCUCUGCAAGGAUAAAAGAAAUUCCCUGGGUUCCCAUUAAGAACAAUUGAGAACGAUACAGUAGUGACACAAGACAUAAUGAGGUUCACCCAUACUCUACUAAAGCCAAAAUUCAGUAAAGCAUCUUCCAAGAAAUCCCAAUCCACUCAGUAAAGCAUUAUUAUGUUAGUUACGAGUUGUUGUUGUUGUUUUAAAUUCUAAGUUGUAAUUUUCUGUUAAUCAAGAGGAUCCUUUAUGUUUAUGCAUAUAUUGUUCUUUUUUUAACCCUCUCA
Long non-coding RNA from Rosa rugosa (rugosa rose), 4348 nucleotides. RefSeq lists it as uncharacterized. The record is from RefSeq and is a predicted model, not a curated record. NCBI's taxonomy places the organism in Eukaryota, Viridiplantae, Streptophyta, Magnoliopsida, Rosales, Rosaceae. The transcript is spliced from 2 exons.